UCCCUACGGGGGGCAGCAGUGGGGAAUAUUGGGCAAUGGGCGAAAGCCUGACCCAGCAAUGCCGCGUGAAUGAAGAAGGUCUUAGGAUUGUAAAAUUCUGUCCUAUGGGAAGAAACAAAUGACGGUACCAUAGGAGGAAGCCCCGGCUAACUACGUGCCAGCAGCCGCGGUAAUACGUAGGGGGCGAGCGUUGUCCGGAAUUACUGGGCGUAAAGGGGGCGCGGACGGCGAUGCAAGCCAGGAGUGAAAGCCCGGGGCCCAACCCCGGGACUGCUCUUGGAACUGCGUGGCUAGAGGGCAGGAGG
Molecule: ribosomal RNA, 305 nt
Filed under: uncultured bacterium
Lineage: Bacteria
Description: bacterial SSU rRNA
Rfam family: Bacterial small subunit ribosomal RNA
Source: RNAcentral